Molecule: non-coding RNA, 203 nt
Organism: Camellia sinensis
Lineage: Eukaryota; Viridiplantae; Streptophyta; Magnoliopsida; Ericales; Theaceae
Source: RefSeq, a predicted model, not a curated record
AAAUCAUUAAAAUUAUUGAAAAGUCCAGAAAGAUCAAGUGUAGUAUAUGUUCUUAUCAGUUUAAUAUCUGAUACGUGAGCCAUUGGCUCACAUGAUAUUAAAUUAAUUUUUUUUAGGGGAAGAGCCCAUUACAAUAGCUUGCUACUGGAGUUCUUGAGUGUCGCCUAUGCGUUGCACUACUGCACGGGCCUGGCACACCCCUC